AUGACGGCCCGGACUGCGGCGGCGACGCCAUGGCGAUGGAAUGACCCGUCCUUCUCGUCCCGUGCCACCUGCAGCCCGACUUUCCUCCCCUCCAUGAUGAGGCGCGCGUUCGGCCAUUGGUCCCCCUGGAUGGGCAGCAUCACGAGCGGGUGCCCGAACAGAAGCCCUUCGAUGAGCGAGUUCCGGCCGCAGUGUGUCAGGAACGCCCCCACGGCACCGUGCGCCAGCACGCUCAUCUGA
This 240-nucleotide ribosomal RNA is filed under the name Triticum aestivum (bread wheat). Its description in RNAcentral is "partial small subunit ribosomal RNA". Lineage: Eukaryota; Viridiplantae; Streptophyta; Magnoliopsida; Poales; Poaceae. The record is from RNAcentral.